Molecule: long non-coding RNA, 4725 nt
Organism: Synchiropus splendidus (mandarinfish)
Lineage: Eukaryota; Metazoa; Chordata; Actinopteri; Syngnathiformes; Callionymidae
Exons: 3
Source: RefSeq, a predicted model, not a curated record
UAUGAAUCUGGAAGUUUGCAAAUAUAUAGAGAUAAAAUGACCAUGAAAAACUAUUACUAUUGCUAAUAUAUAUGUAUGUUUUUGUUUAACAACAAUUGUUUCAUUUCAGUCAUUUAAAACAAUGAGUUAUUAGCGACUGUGUAAUAAAUGGAAAGCUUGAACAUGUUCAUUACUUUUUCAUGUAAUUUCAUAUUAAUAACAAUGAAAACAGGCAAUACUUAAGGUUUCAGAUGUCAAAAUUCCACAGAAAGGCAGGGUCAGCAGUAUUUAUGAUCUUUUUCAUGAUAAGAUUUUCCAUUUUCAAUGCUUGUGCUUCUGCUUGCCCACUCUACCUGCUGCAACUGUGGUCUCAGGGACCACACUCGGGUGUGUGUGACUCUGCAACACUCGACACAUCGGGUCUAAACAUCCUGAACUGUUUUCUGCUCAGGGACCUCUAGUGGUCAUCGCACCAUUACUGCUACAGUCCCAAACCAAAUCAGAACCAGGUUUGCUUCUUCCUGCAGCAGUACAACUGCGUCACCUCAGAAAGUCAGUUGUCUACACCGUCAAAUCGUAGGUUGACCUCAAAAACUAGAGUCUCUGUGCUGUAAAUAUUUUGGUCAUUUGACUCUUUAAAAAUGUGCACUGUACUUGUAAGGAGACGAGAUUAACUUCAUGAUUACAUCAGCACAAAAAGACAUUUCAAAACACAUGACCAAUGAAUGAAAACGACUGCGAAGCCUCUUUGUAAACUUCAUAUUCACAGCGGUGAUUGAAGACUGAAAGCAGAUGUCUGCUUUGGUUCGGCUCUCUGCGUUAUUAGGGACGACUCGGUGGGGAGACAUGAUGGAGGACUAAAAGAAAUUUUUGUUUUGCAGCCUGACUGUUACUUUCUGCCAACAGACCGAACCCAUUAUCAACGCAGAGGUCGCAAAGAGGAGCCAUUAUAUCAACAAACAUCCUGCGUCCCACAGUCGUCCAGGCUGAUAAGUGACAGCGAAGACAUAAAUGUACGGCGUCAAGAGAGGACAGACAUCCCAUAAUUCAGCUGAGUCCAUGUGAAGGUAGAGUCGUUGAAACGUGGGUCAAGAACAACGGAAAAGCCAGGCGGUCACAUGACCUGUGAAGGCCGCGUGAGUCUUUAAAGGACGCUGCGUGACUGACCUGUGGGUUUUUGAAAACCUCGAAUUUCUCCGGCCGCUCCUGGAAGAGGAUUUUGUUCUCGCUGUCCCUCAUCCAGGCCAGCAGCGGCUCCACAAGGUUCUCGUGGUCUUCAAAGGUGCGCUCUGUGGGACGGAGAGGCACAAGUGAAAGUCAGAGAUCACAGUGUCCUGAGCUCACCAGGGUUCGGGGUCAGUUAGGGUCAUCAAAGUGGUUUUAAUUUACCACUUCAGAAAAGGUCAAACAAAUGCUCCCUUGAAGUGGAGCGACCCUAGACACCGCACCCGGCUUCACGACAACAUCAGCACUCAACACUGUAAAUGAGUCAAUACUGUUGUUGGUCUCUGUGAAGCUGUGUCACUAAGACCAUGUGCCCACCAGGGGGCUCCCUUUAAGGGCAAAGUCACUGAGCGUGGCUACAUGUUGGCUCGGGAAACACAAUGACUGCGAACUACACAACCUGGAUCAUGCGGUUAAUAGCUAGACUAAGCUACCAUGUAGCCGAGUAGCUCAUACUGGGGGACUGGGAGCUUCAGCUACGCAACAUAAUAAACAAAAGCUCCUCCGACACGAGUGGUCCUUGGACUUUUUCGACGCCUGACUUAACAUAACAAACCUGUUGUCACUCGUGACGAUGCUGUACAUUCAUCUUCAACCGCCUACUGUCGCUUUGUUCGAAGAAUAGAAGAGUUAAGGAUAAGACAUUACCACCACACUAGCAAGCGUUAGCAUGGCCGCUGAGUGAGUCGGGGCUCACGCCGAUGAUGGAGCGCUCUAGAUGCUCGACAUCUAUGAUUCUUGUGAUAUACUAUUCACUUUACUGCAAAUAUGCUUCACUGUUUGUGCGUUCAGUAUAAAGCUUGUGCUAGUGGGUUAGCAAAAUGACAUUGACGGGAAAGCAAUGCUUCUGAAUGUUUCAUUUUCAUUGUUCUCUCUGUGUUUUAUUCCAGACAUUGACAGUGAGCUGCCACAGAUGGGUUCUGCUGUUUUCAGUCUGUUAACUUCAAAAGGUAAACACAUCAGACGUCAUCAGUUGUCAGUGGAAAUGGCCCUGAAAAGAUUUCGGUAGCUGAGAAAACAGUGGGAGGACUGAGGAGCUCACUGCGCCUCGCCAUGACUCACAGUUUGUUUUGCUCUGCACUGCAUGUAAACCCAGGUUAAGAUGACAACAUCGGACUCGGUGGCUUCAUCAAGCUGCAUGGAACCGCAGUCAGUGACACACAUUCCUGUUUUCUACGCAAGGGUCCAGUAGGGGAUGGAAGGGAGGUUUCACAGAACCAAGGUCGGCCAGACCCUUCGCUCGCGUUACAAGAUGGAGUUGUCAGGCCAGACGGAAUUCCAGGCGGGAAACUGGAGCCAAUCUUCUGGAUCUCAAUUAGAACGGCUGAGCUACUAUUUCCUCUGGAUUUCCAGCUCCACAUCUGCUGCCUUCUUACAUGACACUAGCCUACAGCUCCGAGUGGACUGAGACCCACACCACCUGAGCCCAGCUGCUGCUUGGACCGGGGCGCGAUGACGUCUCAGCCCCUGCUAAACACAUACGCUCCUGUCUGGCCGUCUCCCCCGACAGCACCACAUCAUUACCUCGCCACACUUUGGUACUGACCCGGUUCCUCUUUCUCCUCAUGGCCAGCAGGUGCUUGAUCUGUUCCAGGUGACUGCUGGAACCAGAGCCUGUUUCUCAUCUCCUGCGUAGGACUCCACUCAGAGCAAACUCAACUUGAUAUUGUCCGUUUACUGUCCAGGUACAAAUCUCUCCCGCCUUUAUCUGGGUGUCUUCUCCUGCCCCUCACAGCUUCCAGUGCCACCUUCUCUUUUACUUUGCAUCACGUUUUAUGUCUAGAUUUAUAGGACCAAGUUCACGUUCUGUGUUUGCAAUUGUAUACGAUGAACGUUUGAAUUCCAGACUCCUGCAUAUUCUCCCCAUAAAAACUCUGGGUGUUUUUUCAAUCAACUCUUCCACAUUGAUAUCACGAUUUCAGAAGGUUGCAGCUUGAAAAGAGAUGAUCUGAAGUUUGGAAUGGGAGUGAGUUCUCUCAUCUCCUUAGUAUGUUAUGACGUCACCUGGCAGCAGCCAUGGUGAGUUAUGUAGCUUGUACUGAUGUUUCUGUGAUCCACUGGAUGGUUGAGCACUAGAACUGUCAUGUGCGUGUGGAACUGUCACAGCAAACAGACUCGCUCUCACCUCACGCCGAGGCAGCGCAUGAUCUUCCACACAGUGUGAACACUCCUCUUCAGAAUCGGGGUCCGUCAAAUCCACUUUCCUGGUCUUUGUUUGAAACCACCACCUCCCUCUUGCCCUCGACCGGGUGACGGGCGGUUUUCAAACUCUAUUUAGUCCAAAAGUUUGAUAGAGUCACGCCCAGACCGAAGUUUCAGGUGAGCGCCACCUGCUUGUGUAAAGUAGUCACCACAUCCGGCUCCAUUUUUGGAGCUGGGCUUGUUUAAAUACAGCGAUGCUGCCAAUUUACUGUUGGUCACAAGUGACUCACUACUGUGUCCUCACUGAGUGGCUGAGCACAGACGGAUGGUCUGUUCUGUUCUGACCUAUUCAGUUCUGAGUUUGGGUCUUCUAAUGAGCAUGUGGAACAUUUUGCCUUUUGGCUCAGCUCUUUCAUCACCAAGACGAAUCUCCUCCCCAAGUGCAGGGGUUUACGUUUCGUGGGGUCUUGAUCACAAGUGAAGGGAAUAGUGAGUGAGAAAUGGACAGGUCAGGGCAGCGGCAGCAGUCAUGAAGAGGACGCCGAUCCAGAAGGAAAGGCUGUCCUUUCACUGGACAAUCCUCUGACCACGGCAGCUCUGAGGAGCGGCCAAGAUAGGAGCCGGAUGAGGUGGUUUGGGAUCUGGUUGGAUUGUCUCCCGGACGCCUCUCUCUGGGGUCAGUGUUUGGGGCAUGUCUGCCACAGGUCUCACCCAAGACACAGCUUGGCCUCCCUGCUGAAACUGUUGCCCCCCUGACCCGGAUUCUUGCUAUGCACUGAGACAGCAGAAGACUACGUGUCACUUUUUUUGCUCACUGUCAUCCCAGAGAGUGAAUAAAGGUAGCGUUCAAAUAGGUUAAGAAAAUAGCGUUGUUUGGGACAAAUUUACUUUCAACGUCAAUUUAGUUUAAAUUUCAAAGAUAGCAGUGCUGCGUCUCUGACUUGUGAUGUGCACAUUAGAGAAAACAUAUUUUCUUUUUGCUGCUCUGAAGGCGGGUUGAAUAUUUUGGGCUUGAAUUAUGGACAUUCAUGUUCGCAGUUUGACAUAAUAGAAGGUCUUUUUUCAUAGAAUCUAUUGGGUUAUUUAUAAAUCAAUAAAACCAGAUGGAAUUUAAAUCUUUUUUUUUCUAAUUCUUAUGAAUCUUUUUUUUUUUCUUUUUUUUUUUUUCUCGCGCCGGAGUGAAUCUGCUGAAACCUCCACUGACCACCAAGUCAUAUCUUUCGCUCCUCUGUGGGUUUGUGUUUCACUAGACUCUCACUUCUCGCUUUCUGGCUCAGUUCCUGCUUAUAAAGCAGGUGAAAAGUCCCUCCCUUCACACACUCACUUUUGUGGGCUUGGUGGACUGAGGCGGCGGCGGCGGGAGGGGAGAGGUGGAGGAGG